Molecule: ribosomal RNA, 497 nt
Filed under: uncultured bacterium
Lineage: Bacteria
Description: partial 16S ribosomal RNA
Rfam family: Bacterial small subunit ribosomal RNA
Source: RNAcentral
GAUGAACGCUCGCGGCGUGCCUAAUACAUGCCAGUCGAGCGAACAGACGAGGAGCUUGCUCCUCUGACGUUAGCGGCGGACGGGUGAGUAACACGUGGAUAACCUACCUAUAAGACUGGGAUAACUUCGGGAAACCGGAGCUAAUACCGGAUAAUAUAUUGAACCGCAUGGUUCAAUAGUGAAAGACGGUUUUGCUGUCACUUAUAGAUGGAUCCGCGCCGCAUUAGCUAGUUGGUAAGGUAACGGCUUACCAAGGCAACGAUGCGUAGCCGACCUGAGAGGGUGAUCGGCCACACUGGAACUGAGACACGGUCCAGACUCCUACGGGAGGCAGCAGUAGGGAAUCUUCCGCAAUGGGCGAAAGCCUGACGGAGCAACGCCGCGUGAGUGAUGAAGGUCUUCGGAUCGUAAAACUCUGUUAUUAGGGAAGAACAAAUGUGUAAGUAACUAUGCACGUCUUGACGGUACCUAAUCAGAAAGCCACGGCUAACUACGUG